RNAcentral lists this ribosomal RNA (616 nucleotides) under uncultured Gammaproteobacteria bacterium. Its description in RNAcentral is "bacterial SSU rRNA". It matches the Rfam family "Bacterial small subunit ribosomal RNA", at positions 45 to 653 of the family's 1533-position model. Lineage: Bacteria; Pseudomonadati; Pseudomonadota; Gammaproteobacteria. The record is from RNAcentral.
GGCCUAACACAUGCAAGUCGAGCGGUAGAGAGAAGCUUGCUUCUCUUGAGAGCGGCGGACGGGUGAGUAAUGCCUAGGAAUCUGCCUAGUGGUGGGGGAUAACGUUCGGAAACGGACGCUAAUACCGCAUACGUCCUACGGGAGAAAGCGGGGGACCUUCGGGCCUCGCGCCAUUAGAUGAGCCUAGGUCGGAUUAGCUAGUUGGUGAGGUAAUGGCUCACCAAGGCUACGAUCCGUAACUGGUCUGAGAGGAUGAUCAGUCACACUGGAACUGAGACACGGUCCAGACUCCUACGGGAGGCAGCAGUGGGGAAUAUUGGACAAUGGGCGAAAGCCUGAUCCAGCCAUGCCGCGUGUGUGAAGAAGGUCUUCGGAUUGUAAAGCACUUUAAGUUGGGAGGAAGGGCAGUAACUUAAUACGUUGCUGCUUUGACGUUACCGACAGAAUAAGCACCGGCUAACUUCGUGCCAGCAGCCGCGGUAAUACGAAGGGUGCAAGCCGUUAAUCGGAAUUACUGGGCCGUAAAGCGCGCGUAGGUGGUUCAGUAAGUUGGAUGUGAAAUCCCCGGGCUCAACCUGGGAACUGCAUCCAAAACUUGCUGAGCUAGAGUACGGUA